AUGCACUCUCCUGCCUUCCAGGAGUCACGGAGCACAUGGGAGGGAUUUAAUGGCAAGAUGGGUUCUGGGCUUUUCUCCUUUAUUCCUCCCGGAAAACCACCCUCACUUCCUGUGCCCUCUGCCCUAGGCGUCUGCAGCACUGGCACCCAGCGUUCUGCAGCCCAUGGUUCUGGAGUUGAGGAUUCUGGAAACCCCGUUUCCCUGAAGGGGAUGCAAGGAGCUUCUGUGUUGUUUCAAGUGCUCAGAAACCCAGACUUGCCUGCAGGAGUCGAGCUGGAGAACAUGACCUGGGGGAUCUCCUCCGGGGCAAACUACACAAUCCUGCUGCAGGUCUCCCCUGGGGCACGCGAUCCAGAAUGGGUCAACUUCCAGGACAAGUUCCAGAAGAGGGUCCAUGUGCUCAACAUUACGACCCUGAGGAUGAACAACCUGACCCUGGAGGACACUGGGCUGUACCGGGCUCGGGGCUUCUACUCCAGAGGAAGACAAUACGACCAGGAUUUCCACCUGACUGUGUAUGAGCCCCUGCCCCUUCCCCAGAUCCGGACCACGAAUCUGUCCAUCACCCCAGGCUGGUGCAACAUCACCGUGCAGUGUGACACCCCGGGAACCAGGGAGGACCUGACCAUGUCCUGGAGGAGCAGGGGACUCCCCAGGGAGCUGGAACAGGGAGGGGCCCCAGGACCAGCCCCCAACCCCUGGACCCUGGCUCUGAGCCUGCCCCUGACCCAGCCCAGCGCCAGCCUCACCUGUGUGCUCAGCAACCAGGGGGACCAGAAAACUGCCACCUUGGACCUUGGGGACAUCUGUGGCCACGGUGAGUGCAUCCUGCAGAAGGGAGGGGCUCCCGGGGCUCAGGCAGCCCUGGGUGAGGGUUUUCGGGUCUGUCCCCUUGUUUAUGGCACCACCUGCCACCUGGUCACCCCAUCCAGAGUCUGGCAGGCACAUCCACUUGCUUCUGCCCUUGCAUGUUGCUCCCGGGCUCCUCUACCCCCACCCUCACCCUUGCUUGUCCAGGCAGCACCCAGCAGGGACCUCUGCCCACCCUCAUCCAUCAUUCCCUGUGUCCAGGGUGGUUUUCAUGAGGGGAGUCGAGGCAUGUCAGGGGUCUGUGCCACCAGCAGGGGUGUGAAUCAGCGACUCCCUCAGGAUUCAGGGCCGGGGGCUCCUCUGCUCGAUCCUGGGCUCACGGACAACAUCACCCUACCUGCUGGCCUGCGUCCCAGAUGUCACCUGCUGUCCUCAGCCCCCAGCCUCUGGUCAGCUCCUCCCUCUGCCCUCAGCCCUUCCAGGUCAGGAUCCUCACUCCCCCUACUCCCAUCCAGGGACCCCUUGGCUCCAGCUGGCUCUGGGCCCUGA
RNAcentral lists this long non-coding RNA (1359 nucleotides) under Canis lupus dingo (dingo). Its description in RNAcentral is "lncRNA (ENSCAFG00020003796.1)". Lineage: Eukaryota; Metazoa; Chordata; Mammalia; Carnivora; Canidae. The record is from RNAcentral.